Molecule: RNA transcript, 2321 nt
Organism: Catharus ustulatus (Swainson's thrush)
Lineage: Eukaryota; Metazoa; Chordata; Aves; Passeriformes; Turdidae
Gene name: protein sidekick-2-like
Exons: 6
Source: RefSeq, a predicted model, not a curated record
CCAGAUGGUGAAGCUUUUUACUGCACACCUGGCAUGGAUUCUCAGACCUGCAUCUCUGACAGAUAAGUGCUGGGCUCCAACCCACAGAGGGGAUGGGAGUGGAUGCUGUGUCUGGAAUUGUCAGGAGGGAUUUUUGAGGCAGCUUUGGAGCUGGGGAUGGCCAAGAAGCAGUCCCUCAGGCCCCAUAAGGGGAAGAGUUUCAAUUUGAUCUCAAUGCUGAUUUGCACAGGGCAGAGCAGUUCCUCUGGGUGUCACGUCACUUGUCUCGUGUGCAAUCUGUGUCUGUGUGUGUUGUAUUGUAUGUCUCUUACCUUAGCCCUUUGAGGGGCCUGUCAGAAACCCUGGGCUCAUCCAUAGCAUCUUGUGAUCUCUGCAUUCCUCAGCCUGGCUGUGGUGCCAUCAAACCUUGGUCUCAGGAGCUUGAAUAGGCAUCUGACUCUUUUCUUUUGGAAAGCAUCCAGUCUGAUCUCUUAAGGUCUUUUUCUGAGCUGUGCACCUGAAGGAUCCCUUAUAUCAAAUUGGAACUUGUAAGAAUGGAAGAUAAGAAGAGGAUUCCCAGGCAUCCAUCUCUGCAGCAUCUUCUUGAAGGAAAUCAUUCUGCUGGCAUCUUUUUCCCACCUUGUCAGCUUGCUCUCAGUCUUUCCCUCAGUCCUUGUGUCCUUCCUCUUGCUGAGAUAUUUUUUUCCCUCUCUUGUCAUCCCUUCGUUUGUCACGUCUUGUGUCACGGGUGCCUGCAUGCAUUUGGGUCGGAGCUGCUCUGCCCUGCUGUGUAGUCUGGGCAUAGGUGUGCUAGGACCAGUCCUGGGGACUUGCUUUUUGUAAUGUGGGGUGGUGUUGGACUGGACCCUAGAUGAAAUCUGGAGGUAUAAAGUUAUCCUGCAGCACAUUUGACUUCUGUCCUAUCUUCCUUUCAGAUGCAGAUGGAUCAAAUCUGAGGCUGUGGGCCCAUCCUAGGAAAUGAAGCAGGAUAUCCACUGUCAAGGGGAAGCAGGCCAGGCAGUGCCCUUGAACUACCCUGAGAUGGCUCUGCCCAGCUGACCCAGAGACCCAGUUCACUGCUCCUGUGAGCCCUCCAGCAGUAUUACAGGACUCUGAUGAAGCCUUCACCUUCUCCUAUUUGAAGAUGCCAGCCAGGUAGGCUUUGGCAAGAGCCAAGCAGUUGAGGUCUACCCUGCCAGGACAGUCUCAACCUCUGAGUGCAGCUGAAGCGUGUGAGGUGAGCCCCUGGGCAUUCCUGGGAUAUGCUGACUAAGGGACAACAGCCCAGUGAUGGCAGGAAUUUCCCAGAUGGUGAAGCUUUUUUACUGCACACCUGACAUGGAUUCUCAUACCUGGAUCUCUGACAGAUAAGUGCUGGGCUCCAACCCACAGAGGGGACGGGAGCGGGAUGCUGUGUCUGGAAUUGUCAGGAGGGAUUUUUGAGGCAGCUUUGGAGCUGGGGAUGGCCAAGAAGCAGCACCUCAGGCCCCAUAAGGGGAAGAGUCUCAAUUUGAUCUCAAUGCUGAUUUGCACAGGGCAGAGCAGUUCCUCUGGGUGUCAUGUCACUUGUGUCUUGUGCUGUGUGUGUCUUCUGUGUGUGUUGUAUUGCCUGUCUCUUGCCUUAGCCCUUUGAGGGGCCUAUCAGAAACCCUGAGGUCAUCCAUAGCAUCUUGUGCUCUCUGCAUUCAUCAGCCUGGCUCUGGUGCCAUCAAACCUUGGUCUCAGGAGCUUGGACAGGCAUCUGAAUCUCUUCUCUUUUGGAAAGCAUCCAGUAUCAUCUCUUAAGGUCUUGCUCUGAGCUGUAUUGCCAGCUGUGCACCUGAAGGAUCCAUUACAAGAGAUGAGGAAUUAGAGGAAUGGGAAGGUACGAAGAGGAUUCUCAGGCAUCCAUCUCUGCAGUUCUUGAAGCAAAUCAUUCUGCUAGCAUCUUUUUCCAGCCUUGUCAGCUUGCUGUCAGUCUUCCCUCAGUGAUCUCAUUUUGCAUUCUCUCAGUCCUCGUGGUUCUUCUUGCCGAGUUUUUUCGUCCCCCUGUCCUCCCCUCGUUUGUCAUGUCCUGUGUCACGGGUGCCUGCACGCAUUUGGUCUGGAGCUGCUCUGCCCUGAUGCAUAGUCAAGAUAGGACAAGGUGCAGGGUCUUGCGUUUUGUACUGUGGGGUGGUGUUGGACUCUAGAUCAGAUCUGCAGAUUCACUCAAGAUGUCUGGGGCUGCCCAGCUAUUAUGCUGGGCUUUAAAUUUUGUUCUAAGUUCUUUUUACCUGCAGUUUUCUGGGGUUUUGGGUAGAAAAUGUGUGGGGAUGUCUCUUAGCUCUCAGGUAACCACUCACUGACCUCCCGCUUCUGUC